RNAcentral lists this long non-coding RNA (1675 nucleotides) under Gallus gallus (chicken). RNAcentral describes it as "lncRNA (ENSGALG00010008565.1)". The record is from RNAcentral. Lineage: Eukaryota; Metazoa; Chordata; Aves; Galliformes; Phasianidae.
CGGGGAGCCGCGGCACGCCCGUCUGCGCCCUGCGCCCUCCCCCGGGGCGCUGGAUGGGGCGAGCGCAACUUCAGCCGCCGCGGCCGCUUUCAGCCCUCUCCUCCCCGCUCUCCCCCCGUCUGCGUCGCCUCCCCUUCUCGUGUGAGAAGCGCGAAGUUGCGUUGAGACGGUACCUCGGCUGGAGCGCGAGCCUAACGAGCCCAUUAAAUAUGAUCAACGUACCGUCUGCACGGAAUGAAACCUUUCCCAGUCCUGAUUGCUCCAAAGAGGAAUCACGUCCUACCUCCCACCUUCCCAACCUUCGUUCUCCCGGCGGACACACGCGUGUAAUUACUGGCGACUGUGCAAACGCAGCCCUCAGCAAAAGCAUGCCGAUCACCAGGUGAUCUGGAAAUAAAUGAUGGAUCGCUUUGCGGACGGGCGAGGGGAGAGGACGACUCGUUAGUGCUGAUGCUAAGCGAGGAGUAACGCUGCCUGAGAGCACUCUGCCGCGGUUUGCUUUCUUACUUAACUCUCUGCCUUCACUGAGGACCGCUCCGCUCGGGGGGGGGGGGGGGGGGGGGGGGGAAGAAGCAUAAACCCAAAGCCGGGCCUGCCGAGCGCGGGGUUCCCCUCCUCCAGGAAAGCAGAGCUUCGGGGCGCGAUCGUUAACUUCUGCGAUCAUCAUUGGGUUUCUUGGCAAGGAGGCUGAGCGGGCUUCUUUUUUCUUAACCUCCUGUGUUGUUUUUUGUUUGCUCAGAUGACAUUCCCUGCUCCGAUGCCCUCCCCCCCCCCCCCCCCAUCCCCCCCCCAUCCCCCGCCCGGACAGCGCUCGCACACAGACACACACACACACACACACACACACACACGCGCACACCCCUUCUCCUUUCAUCAUCAGCAAAUAAAGAUUAGGUGGGCAGAUUAUAGAAAGCGUUUUCAGUCCUGUGCUGAUCUUUAUUCCGGAGCCUUUGUGAUGAUAUUGAUGAUGAUGAUGGUCAAGUGGACAGUUUGAUUUUUGUGUUUGGAGCUAGUUAUAAAGAAUCAAUAUUAUAUCAAGGGGUAACUUUCGUGAUAAAGGACUUUAACCACUCCGGCUAUUCAUCAUAAGUCUGUAGCAAGCAGAUAGGUCAAAAGAAAUUAUAUUGCACUAAAGAGUGUGUCUUCUUAUCUCUCCUAUACCAGGGGAAUAAGGGACAAGCCGAUCGAUACAGGAGCUGCUGUAUACUUCUUGCAAUUAUCAAUAGCUGAUUUCGUCUUUUGAGGCCUGAAUCUAUUAAUACAAACCAAUAAUAAUCUUCUGAGCAUAUCAGUAGCCAAGGGGACGAAAGUUUUUAUACUUGACAGCACUAUUUAUAGAGCUAAAGUUACCGAGCACUGUCGUAUUGCGUGUGCUUCCCCGUGCUAUGCAUAUACAGACAUAUACCUUUCCAUAUACACCUCUCCGGUCAUUUGGGGCAGAAUACAGCCUUUUGCAAAGGGGCUACCUAGAUUGAGUUUGAAUGUAAGCUGUACCCACGUGUACCUCCUGCAGCGUGUGCAGACCUUCCUCACGACAGAAAUACAGCAUUUGAAUGUGUGCACCACCUAUACGUGUGCGCAUCUGUAGGGUGGCGUGCAUCUAUAGGUGUCUCCAACACGUGUGGCUGCUCUUAAAUGAGUGCUGCCCUGAUAAUAUCCCCAUAGCUGUGCGUAU